AAACAAGAAAAUACUAAUCAAAUACUAAUGAGGAAUCCAAACCAACAAAAUGUUAUAAACAAAUAAAAUGCUGCUUCCUAUAUUUCAUCCUAGAAUAGGUAGUUCUAAAAUCCCUAGAAAAUGUUGCAUCAGCUAGGGUUACAAGAAGCCAUCGGCAAGUUGAAACAUGCAAGUCCAUUCUCACAUAGAUUAAAUACAUUUAACAAAAUGAAAAUCAUAUUUAAAAGAUAAUAAUGAGCAAAUCAAAGUCCCUUUUUUUCAUUUUUGGAAUAUCAAAAGAAAUUUUAUCAUGGUUGAUACAAAAUAUUUCUUCAAGUUAUCACCACAUAUCACUACAAUGUAGCAAAAUUCAAAUGUAUAACUGAAAUGAAAAUUUAGUGUAAAGACAAUAGAAGCUAAUAUACAAGAUAUGAAGGCACCUGAUGCAAAUGGUGUUGAA
Molecule: unclassified non-coding RNA, 439 nt
Filed under: Hevea brasiliensis (rubber tree)
Lineage: Eukaryota; Viridiplantae; Streptophyta; Magnoliopsida; Malpighiales; Euphorbiaceae
Source: RNAcentral